UGCUAUAAUCUUAAAACCAAUAAAAUAAGGUCCCAAGACUAUUUUACUGAGUUUGUCAAAUACACUUGAACUUUAUGUAUAGACAUAAACAGGGAUUAAGUUCAAGUUAAUAGCCCAAAUAGUCUAUAGUGUAUGAAUAAGGUUGGGCUCCUUAUUCUGGAUAAACACUAUGGAUGCGGCCCGCUCCGUAAUUAGUACAAACGAUGUAAUCCUGAAUCGUUCAUGUAGAGACAUGGGAGUGGGGGUGUCCUAUGCAAAUAGUUUGCAUAAGACUGGAACCAUGAAGUAGUCACUUUUAGUUAUAACACCGUAAACUAUAAACUAACUAUUUCAAUUAUGAUGAUCUAGGUAACUUGAUCUUAAUCCUGAGCUAGCUAUGAAAUUUUGUUCAUUCGGUAGUAUCCUUAGAUCUGCAUAGGUGAGGGCAACUCAACAUCGUUGGCCCAAUAAGCCUCUCAUUUCAGGUGUAAGAUGGAAUUCACUCCUACCCACUUCUGAGAUAGUAGAUAGGUUGUUCCCUGAAGGACUGAAUCUAAGUCUUGAACAAAGGGUCUCGCCUUCUCGUUGGACCGAGAAGGAUUCUGGUUUAUAGGUUGGACCUUAAACCAAUUGUUCAAUAGUGGAUUAGUGAGUCUUAAGGAGCAAGAUGUAAUCUUGGGGGUAAAACAGUAUUUUGACCCAGCCCAGAUUACGAACAACCUGUGAAGGAUCAACUUACUCAUCAUGGUUAUAUCAGGUGGACAGAAAUAUAUCUAUAGUGAAGGGAGUGCAAUUAAAAGUCUUUAGUGGAAUGACUCUUUAGUUAACGAAUGUUGAUUAUCCUUGGUCUAAAAGAGUUUAGCUAAUUAAUCUUAAAUUGUUGGAGCCCAUGAUCCAUAGGUCCAUUAGGUUCCCCUACUAGUUCAUAUGGAUUCAACUAAGAACAAGUAUGUUUAAGUAAUUUGAAUUGUUCGAAUAAAGAUAAGAGAGAGAAACCGACAAAUAUAUAAGAUAUAAGUCGGUAGAAAUAAACUUUAAGUUUUGUGUUUAAAUAUGAUUUAAAUAAAUUUGAAUAUAGAUUCAUAUUUAAAAGCUUAAAAAGUUUAGAAACGGUCAAAGUUCUAAAAGUCAACAUGUUGACUUUUAACUUUGAACUUUGAUCGGAUUUAUAUUCAAAUAUGAUUUAAAUUUUAGAGAAAUGAAAAUGGAUUCAUACUCGGGAGGUUAGAAUUAGUCAAGACGGGAAAAUUAGUAAAAAGUCAAAAAGUUGACUUCUGACUAAGAAAAGUCAAAGUUUAACUUUGACUUAAUUGGUCAAAUGACCAAAAUGUCCCUUUUGAUAAUUACUUUAUUAAUUAACGGUUAAUGGAAAAUGUGGCAGAUUAUUGUGAAUUUGAAGCCACUAAUUUCAUUAAAGAGUUGAUGAUUUGAUUAGGUGUUGAUUAUAUAUGAAAUAAUUUAUAUGCAAAUUGCAUGUAUAUUUCAUAUAAAACUUCUCAUUACCGAAUGAGAAAAGGGAUGGUUUUUUCUCUAAUAAAGAACACCUAAACGAUACAUCGCUCCCCAUCUCUCUCUAUAUUUCACUUCACAUAAUCGAGUCCCACAACUGCGUUCUUGGUCCUGAACAUAGUAGGUCAACUUGGUGGUUGUCCUUGCUCGUGAUCUUCAAGCGUAGAAGAAGCUUUGGAUUGAAGAAGAAGCCCAGAACUAUAAAAGGAACUAAAGUUGUCGUGCCUCUUUUUGCUUCCAAAUGCAUCUUCAAAAGGAAUAAUUUGGUGGAGUACAUAAACCGCUCCCGAAAGCUUCGAACCGGCUAGAAAACCACCCAAAACAGCUUGAACCGGCCCAAAACCCCUUAAACCGGCCCAAGAACCAACAGUUGGGCUUGAACCGGCCUAAGCCAACAAGGCAGGCGCACGGGCCGAAAGAACCGGGUUAUACCCGGGUCGGCUACGAGCGGCCGGAUGCGUGCAGCAUGUCAAACUCAUGGGCCGAAUCGAGUUGGGCCUCCAGGCGAAAUGGGCUGCUCGCACUAAACCAAGGCAAGACACGGAUGGCGGGCCGGGUCGGGACGCGGGCGCGCAGGUCGUCAGGUGGAUCAGAAGCGUAGCGCGGACAAGGGCCGGGCGCGCGCUGGGCCGAUGGGCCGCAUGCGAAACGGGCCUGGGGCAGCGAGAGGUUUGGGCAGAAGAAGAGAGGGCAGGCCAGACGCGGGUCGGAGCGGGCGCGCAGGUUCCGGGUCGGCUGCCGGGUCUGGACUCCUUCAACGAUCUCUGAGGGGUAAACGACGGCUGCGGGCGGGUUUUGGGUCGUCCCGACGGGUGCAAAUGCGGGUUUCCGGGUCUGGAGAGGAAUUCCGGUUCUGUCCUCCAAUUUUCUUCAAAAUUUUAACUUUUCUCUCUCCCGGUUGAAGAAAUUACAGCCUAAUUUCAAAUCUAAUGACUCCAAUAAAUUUACAUAAUCUUUACAAAAGAAAAUAAGCCAUUA
Molecule: long non-coding RNA, 2466 nt
Organism: Cucumis melo (muskmelon)
Lineage: Eukaryota; Viridiplantae; Streptophyta; Magnoliopsida; Cucurbitales; Cucurbitaceae
Exons: 3
Source: RefSeq, a predicted model, not a curated record